Molecule: long non-coding RNA, 402 nt
Organism: Manis pentadactyla (Chinese pangolin)
Lineage: Eukaryota; Metazoa; Chordata; Mammalia; Pholidota; Manidae
Exons: 3
Source: RefSeq, a predicted model, not a curated record
GCCAAAUGCUAUUAGUUCUGUUUUCAUGUAAUUAUUGUGUAGCAAGCCGCCUGUUACCCUUGGCCCAGGCAGCAGGGAGAAAGGUUAUGUACAUGGACUAUUACUCAGCCAUAAAAAAGGAUGGAAUCUUGCUAUUUCUGACAACAUGGAUGAACCUAGAAGAAGAAAGACAAAACAAAACCCAGUAGAAUGACAACAUCAACAGAAGAAAUCCCCUGAGCCAUCUAGCCCCUAGCAGCAAGCCAAGAAAAAGCAAACCAGGAUUAAGAAAUGAGUGGAUAAUCUGGGAUGGCAGAAGAAUGAAGUAAGCAGUUUCUGCAGCCAGAGAUCUUCCCUCAGGCUAGAAGGUGACACAAGCAAUUUUCUCUGAACCAUCUGGACUUGAGCAAUAAAUCAAGUAAA